AAAAUAACCAAAAACAC
RNAcentral lists this small RNA (17 nucleotides) under Arabidopsis thaliana (thale cress). RNAcentral's name for it is "ATSL283570". The record is from RNAcentral. Lineage: Eukaryota; Viridiplantae; Streptophyta; Magnoliopsida; Brassicales; Brassicaceae.